CCAGCACCCUGCUUGGGUAGGAAAUGAGGCGGUGAGAGAGGGAAUCUGGUGACCUCUGAGAGGGCUGACAGUGUCCUUUGUCCCCUUGGGACAAAACACGGUCCUGAGGUCCUGAAUUUCUGCCCUCCUCGUGGGAAGGAGUGGUGGUACUGGGGCUGUGAGAGAAUAAAGGCUGUCCCGGUAUGCCCCUGCGAAUGGGGGCAGUGUCUGGUGCUGCUUAGGGAUUGCAAGCUGACAUAACACAGCCAGAACCGCUGUCAGGAAAUUAACACCUCGCUCCUGGAAUCACGUUGGUGAGCUCACACCUCCACCUGCUCUGCAGCUGAGUCCAUUUUCGAUGUGUGGAGGUGCCGGUGACUGCUGGGAGGGCCUCGCUGCAGCAGCCGUUCCUUCCUUUUUCCUUCCCCCAAAGGUCGGUGGCUGCAGAUCUGUGGGGUGCCUUAUCCAGCCUCAUGACUCCCUGUCAGUGGUGUGAGCCAUCCCUGAAGGUACUCUCACAUCAGGAUAAGGUCUCCAAAAUGAGCAAGCCUAGAUGAGCCAGGGUGGGAUUACAGCGGCAGCAGCGGAGCCACCUGGAGCCUCCCGUUUGGGCAGCGAUGGACAUCCAGCAGUGCUCUGGGGCUGCUGCUUCACUGAGCCGUGCUGUGGAAGGAUGUGGCAGUUGAACUGACUGCACUGUAAAAUCUCUCAUCCAACUUUGGACAUCCCCAGAUGCCAGCAGGAGGAAACGAGGUUUCUUGUGAGGUGCAUGGCUGGCUGUGCCCCUCCUCGGGGGGCUUUUUCCCCCUCCUGCAUAUCAGGAACUGCUGCAGCUCUCCAGGCCCUCGCAACUACUGUUCCUUAUGUUGUGAUAAGCCACGGUGCUGUAAUUCCCUCGUGAAAGGCAUUGUUUGAGUGUGUUUAGGCUGCAGGAGCAUUUAUGACUUUUUGAUGUGGUCUGAUUAUGAAUAUCGUGUGUUGAAAACACAGAUAACUUGUUUAAACACACAGCACAUGGGCUGGAAGGUGGAAAGUUUUUUUUGUUUUUUUUUUUUCCUCCGGUCCCACCGCAGCAGGCAGGGAAGGCACUGCCUGAUACCAGCCGUGACUCCGGCAGUUCACUUCAGGUAACUGCUCGGAGGUUUCCUUCCCACUGGCUUAUGUUUAAAAGAGCUUUGAGGAAAAAAACAAACGCUGCCUGGUGGAACUGCACGCAUAAACCAUGACAACAAAGCAAAUGGGAGCUAAGUACCAGUUGUUUUCCUAAACUUGGGCUUUGAAGUGGGUCCCAAGUGCUGUGUACAAGUCUGUUCUCCAAUUUUUUUUGCUGUAUCUGCCUAUUUUUCUGUGUCAGGUCUCUGCCUGCUUGCCCCAGAAGUCGUGCCUUGAGUACCUCGUGUGGGGCAGUGCGUGACGGUAACUGCUGCUGCGUGUUGUGAGAUCCUGUCUCUGGAAGUGGUUUGCAAGAGACCAGGUGAGACAGCUUUGCCUGUUCCUUCAAGGUACUCAGCUCAUGAGGAGCCAGGAGCUGGUGCUGAGGCUGGAGCACGUUGGCAGAUGGGAUGGGACGUGGCUGAAGAUCUGUAACUCGGUUCGUGUCUCAUUGCGAACCUGUUAAGGGAGCUGGCAGGGCUUGUUGCUGGCUGCUGUGGGUUGUCUUCAGCAUGGCAUUGUGAAAAGAGAUGGGUAAAUGCAGUG
Non-coding RNA from Anas platyrhynchos (mallard), 1677 nucleotides. NCBI's taxonomy places the organism in Eukaryota, Metazoa, Chordata, Aves, Anseriformes, Anatidae. The record is from RefSeq and is a predicted model, not a curated record.